AAAUUGAAGAGUUUGAUCAUGGCUCAGAUUGAACGCUGGCGGCAGGCCUAACACAUGCAAGUCGAACGGUAACAGGAAGCAGCUUGCUGCUUCGCUGACGAGUGGCGGACGGGUGAGUAAUGUCUGGGAAACUGCCUGAUGGAGG
This 145-nucleotide ribosomal RNA is filed under the name Escherichia coli. RNAcentral describes it as "partial 16S ribosomal RNA". It matches the Rfam family "Bacterial small subunit ribosomal RNA", at positions 1 to 139 of the family's 1533-position model. RNAcentral also lists the same sequence under 5 other names. The record is from RNAcentral. Lineage: Bacteria; Pseudomonadati; Pseudomonadota; Gammaproteobacteria; Enterobacterales; Enterobacteriaceae.